RNAcentral lists this ribosomal RNA (391 nucleotides) under uncultured bacterium. RNAcentral's name for it is "bacterial SSU rRNA". It matches the Rfam family "Bacterial small subunit ribosomal RNA", at positions 362 to 770 of the family's 1533-position model. The record is from RNAcentral.
UAUUGCACAAUGGGGGGAACCCUGAUGCAGCGACGCCGCGUGGGCGAGGGAGUGCUUCGGCANGUAAAGCCCUAUCAGCGGGGAANNCCNNNANGGUACCUGACUAAGAAGCCCCGGCUAAAUACGUGCCAGCAGCCGCGGUAAUACGUAUGGGGCAAGCGUUAUCCGGAUUUACUGGGUGUAAAGGGAGCGUAGGCGGCCUGGCAAGCCUGAUGUGAAAUACCGGGGCCCAACCCCGGGGCUGCAUUGGGAACUGCCAGGCUGGAGUGCCGGAGAGGCAGGCGGAAUUCCUAGUGUAGCGGUGAAAUGCGUAGAUAUUAGGAGGAACACCAGUGGCGAAGGAGGCCUGCUGGACGGUGACUGACGCUGAGGCUCGAAAGCGUGGGGAGCA